This 225-nucleotide non-coding RNA is filed under the name Streptomyces viridochromogenes DSM 40736. RNAcentral's name for it is "Streptomyces sRNA 4677". It matches the Rfam family "Streptomyces sRNA 4677". Rfam says of the family: Located in the intergenic region between anti-sigma factor SCO4677 gene and a putative regulatory protein gene SCO4676. scr4677 expression requires the SCO4677 activity and scr4677 sRNA itself seem to affect the levels of the SCO4676-associated transcripts. Lineage: Bacteria; Bacillati; Actinomycetota; Actinomycetes; Kitasatosporales; Streptomycetaceae. The record is from Rfam by way of RNAcentral.
GGGUCCGGCGGGCCGCUGACCUCCCUAAAGAACCGGGGGAAAGAACUACCCGCCCACCCACCCUCCCCGGUCAGGGAGCCCGAGUCACCCGUCCGAGUGUCCGGCUUGCAGCAGCGGGUAACGGACCGUUACGUUCGCCGCGACAACCCCACACAGAUACGGCCCCCGGCCGGGACGGCAAUCCCGAUCGAGGGCCUGACCGAUCAGGAAGCAAGCACCUUCCCG